GAGCACUGAUGAAAUAUUGAGAAAGUCAUGCACCACUCUGACUUCUUUGAAAGUGAUGAUAAUUUCUCCUACCCAUACUAUUUUCUGAGCUC
This is a small nucleolar RNA of Ipomoea nil (Japanese morning glory), 92 nucleotides long. It matches the Rfam family "Small nucleolar RNA Z221/R21b". From Rfam's summary of the family: Z221 is a member of the C/D class of snoRNA which contain the C (UGAUGA) and D (CUGA) box motifs. Most of the members of the box C/D family function in directing site-specific 2'-O-methylation of substrate RNAs. The record is from Rfam. Lineage: Eukaryota; Viridiplantae; Streptophyta; Magnoliopsida; Solanales; Convolvulaceae.